CUGUUAGCAAUGCUUCCUGAUGUUGUGCGUGGCCCUUUUUGGUUGAUUCUCUCCAAAUUCGGGUCAGCUGCUGCCACCUGGCAAAUAACAGAGGAUAUGCUGAAUCUCCUGUCCAUCCUUGUAACGAUAUCCUUCUUAAUGAAAUUCUUCAACUGGCUGAGCAAUUACAAAUGUCAUCUGUCCAGACACAUGGGCUUAAGGAUGUCUACAAAAUUUUAGACAUUUUUGCAAAUGGGAAAAAAAAUAGUCUUGUAAAUACUGAAACAGAUUUCCAUGAACUUUAUCCUACUCUUGGAAAGAAAACAAUUCUCCUUGGCUGCAGAAAUCAAAUAAGCUGGGUUUGCAAUGACCAAGGACAUAAAUGAAGAUGGAUUGAAGUGGAAAAAUUCUGUCUCCCAAGUGAUCAGUGACAUCUGCCAGAGGUCAUUACAGCUACUUUUAACUGUGAACAGUCACCAGCUAAACUACUCACUUGCCACAACAAAAUAACCUCUCUCAAAAUAAAUCCAGUGCAUCUGUAUAUAUGUGUAGAUAGCAGCAACAAACAAUCCUGAAACAUUAUUUUUGGCUGUUAGGUAAGUAAACGUGAUGAUAAUUAUAAACAACAUUCAAAUAACCUUGGACCUUGGUGAAAUGACUUGUGGUGGCCAGAAUGGUGCAACAAGAUGUUAUUUGCAAGUUUUUUUAAGACACAAAUAUCUCAGAUACUAAUAAUGAGAAUAAAGACUGUUGAAUAUGAAAUUAAAGCCAAGCAAUAAUGUGCCAAAAAGAGGCAGUUAUACCAGCAAAUGCAUCUAUUAUGGGCACACCAUUAUAUAAUGAUGGUUUGCUUUAUGAAGACUGACUGUAACCCACAGGAUAAAAUAAGCAAAGGCAUAGUUUCUGCUUUCUUCCUGGAAAAACUUGUUUAGAAGCUUCAUAAAGAGGUACAGCACUAAUGAGCAUUAGUCAGGAUACAGUUGGCAUCUAUGUUUUUAUGUGAGCCCAGAGGGAAGAGGAGCCACUCAAAGUCUUGCUGGCUUAAAACUCAAGACAGCUGCAACCAGAAGUUUUGUUGAAAUGGAGACUUUAAACUUAUGGUAAUUACUCUUUCUGGACACUAGCAUGUAGAAAGCAAUUCAGUUAACUCUGCCCAGAGGAUUACCAGCUUUAGCUGUGAAAAAAUGGGCUCCCGGAUGUAAAAUCACUAAAACAUGAGAUCUUGUAUCCAAAGAGGCUUCAAAUGAUGCCUUACAGAAAACGAUGCUCCAGAUGGGCACUUCUAAAUGCUAACUCUUCAUCAAGUAUCUUUCUGGAUUCAAGCUCAAAAUUAAUUGGCUGCAAAAUAGUAGGAAUAAAAAUCACAUAUUUUACACUUUAGAAAAGGAUAUUGAUGAUCAACCUGCAUGGUGAUAAUUAUGAUGAGAUACCCCAGUGAUUUAAUGAUGUUAGAAAGAAUUAAAUGGGAGAGAAUUGCUAACAGCUUUCUUGAUCUCUUAACUAUGGAGAUGUCAUUCAUUUAUUUCUGGGGUGAAAAUUAUAGCUUGCUUUUUGACAUUGCUGCUAGUAUUGUUCUUUGUUGCUUUAAAAAUUGUCUCUCUUUAGAAAAACUCUUGAGCAGUUAAACAGUUUUUUUUCUGAUUCAUAUCAUUGCUUUUAAUAACAUGUAAAGGCUGUGUGUAGAGCAAACUAUAUAAAAUGAGUAGAAAGGGCUUACUCAUGUUAAUUGGCAUCCUUGAUGAUUUUAGUUGAGAUUCCUUAACAUUUAUUUUAGAUCACAUCUUUACGUAACUUAUUUUUCCUAAUGUUUUCCAUCGUGUCUUAAAAUGAUGCUGGUAUAUCAGGAGAUUGCAGUAUUAUAGUCAUACUCCCCAAUCCCUAGAGGAGAGGAAAGACUAAUUCUUGUUUUAAGGGCCCCUGGAGAUACCUUUUAUUAAGGUUGAAAAAGGUCAACACAGCCUGAAAAUAAGAAAAAUAUAUACUAGCAAUUACUAAUUUUCUAAAUGUGUGUAUCUCUGCUGUACUAAUGUGUGAACAAUAUGUCGUGCAUAAUACUGUAGCUGGUCGUGGUAUGUCAAUACAUUCUGUGAGUGUGUACAGUCUGAGUGAUCAGUUUUCUAUUUUUAUGUGUAAAAAAAAUAACUUGUCGUAUCCCAUUUAAAGGCCAAUUUCUGUAUUCAGGCAGGCAUAUGUACAUACAUGAAUAAAGCCAACAAAAGUGUGCACAUGUAUUCAGU
Molecule: long non-coding RNA, 2216 nt
Filed under: Homo sapiens (human)
Lineage: Eukaryota; Metazoa; Chordata; Mammalia; Primates; Hominidae
Description: non-protein coding lnc-FAM13A-2:2
Source: RNAcentral